Long non-coding RNA from Epinephelus moara (kelp grouper), 1884 nucleotides. RefSeq lists it as uncharacterized. The transcript has 2 exons. The record is from RefSeq and is a predicted model, not a curated record. Lineage: Eukaryota; Metazoa; Chordata; Actinopteri; Perciformes; Serranidae.
UAUUGAGGGGAGGAGAACAAGGCUUGUGUAGUUAUUCAGUAACAUACAGCACUACUUUCAGUUCAUUCAAAUAAACAGUGUAGUGCAGUGCCUGUGUAUCAAAUGACAAAUGGGGGGCAGUGCCUCAUUUGCACAGAAUAUGACACUCAUUGACCUCAAGGUGAUGCUGUAGCAAUCAUGUUUACAUUUUUGCAAUUAUCUCAAAAAGGCUUGGUUAAGAGGCAAAAAUCUUUCAUGGUUUCAUUCUUUCAAUUCAUCUGCAUCUUAUUUUGAGAACUCAUCAGAAACUGUUGGGCUAAUCAUCCCGAAGCUUUGCCCCAAUCAUCUAUGGACAUCAAUGAUCUAAAGCAGUGGUUCGCACCCCAAAAGUGGGUCACGGAUCCAUUCUGAAUGGACCACAAGUGAGUCACGAACAUGUCAAGUUUGUAAAAAAACACACUUUAUUUUGAAGCACAGUUUUUCUUUUUUUUUUUAAUUGUGUAGAGUAAGUGAAAACAGGUGUAGAUAUAUAUAAACAGUUAAGAAAGAAGAUUACAUAAAGUGAGAAAGAGUCAUAAGAUAAAAAUAAAGAGCAACUAAAUACAUCAGAACAAAAUAAAACAAUAUUAAACAAACAAGGAAUAGAGCACAGGCUGAAAGUGAUGGGGGUGCAGGCGAAAACAAGUAUACUGCAAAGUGUGUUCAUGUGUGUGUGUGCAUGCGCAUCGGGGCCUAACUCCGCCAUGCGCGAUACAGAGAACAGAGGAGAAUUGUAAAGGCGCGACCAUGUAGAGACAGAAAUGACAUGCCGUUGUGUAAACGAUAUAACUCAUCACGUUAUAAGGUGAAAUGUUUCACCGUAUAACACGAUAAAUAGUAUAAUGUUAUGUUAUUAUAUGAAGUGUCUGUUGUGCAAAAUAAUAUAACUUUAGUUUAUGAAGAGAUAAGACAGAGCCCUCUCCUCUUAUAUGCUUUACUCACAAGUGUGUGAAUUGACCUGGUUAUGAAGCGUCCCUAGCGCCAAAUAAUAUAUAAUAUAAUAAAGAGCUAAGACGAAAAAAAUAAAAUAAAUCAGCAGCGUGGUGCACCGCUGCUAGUUGCAUAUAGGGGAAAUACUGAAAGAGAUGGUGGUUUCACUGAGCAAAUGCCUAUUUUCAGCACAUUUUAUGCUGUUGCAUUCAAAGCAAUAUCAGCCUAAUAAUUCCAGAAUGAUUAAUUCUCCCCAAGUAGAGCUACUGAAGUCCUCUGGUGGAAAAUAAUGCACCCUUAAAAAAAUAUAUAAAUUGCAAUAUAUAUUGCUGGGGGCUAAAAAACACGCAGUGUCAAUUUAUCCCAAUAUUGUGCAGCCUUAUUAACUACACACCCAUUUGUCUUGUAUAUUUUUUUUAAAUUUAAUUUAAUUUUAUAUACUUUAUUAAUCCCCGAGGGGAAAUUCAAUUUUUUCACUCUGUUUUUUUGUCAAUUACACACAGGUCCGAACACACACAUGCACAAACAGGACCUAUACAUGCACUAAGUGGAGAGAUGUCAGAGUGGGCUGCCCAUGACAGGCGCUCAGAGCGGUUGGGGGUCGGCAGUAGCUCAGCCCAUAGGGACUUGGGUUGGGAACCGGAGGGUCGCCUGUUCAAGUCCCCGUCCGGACCAAAAUAUGGAGCGUGGACUGGUAGCUGGAGAGGUGCCAGUUCACCUCGUGGGCACUGCCGAGGUGCCCUUGAGCAAGGCACCGAACCCCCCACCCGCUCAGGGUGCCUGACCAAGGGCAUCCCCCUCACUCUGACAUCUCUCCACUUUGUGCAUGUAUAGGUCCUGUUUGUGCAUGUGUGUGUCUUUCAGACCUGUGUGUAAUUGACAAGCAAGAGUGAAAACAUUGAAUUUUCCCUCAGGGGAUUAAUAAAGUAAAUAAAC